Molecule: ribosomal RNA, 254 nt
Filed under: uncultured bacterium
Lineage: Bacteria
Description: partial 16S ribosomal RNA
Rfam family: Bacterial small subunit ribosomal RNA
Source: RNAcentral
UACAGAGGGUGCAAGCGUUUAAUCGGAAUUACUGGGCGUAAAGCGUGCGCAGGCGGUUAUGUAAGACAGGUGUGAAAUCCCAGGGCUUAACCUUGGAACUGCAUUUGUGACUGCAUAGCUAGAGUACGGUAGAGGGGGAUGGAAUUCCGCGUGUAGCAGUGAAAUGCGUAGAUAUGCGGAGGAACACCGAUGGCGAAGGCAAUCCCCUGGACCUGUACUGACGCUCAUGCACGAAAGCGUGGGGAGCAAACAGG